This 243-nucleotide ribosomal RNA is filed under the name uncultured bacterium. RNAcentral describes it as "partial 16S ribosomal RNA". It matches the Rfam family "Bacterial small subunit ribosomal RNA", at positions 1258 to 1500 of the family's 1533-position model. The record is from RNAcentral.
CGAGAGUAAGCUAAUCUCUUAAAGCCGUUCUCAGUUCGGACUGUAGGCUGCAACUCGCCUACACGAAGUCGGAAUCGCUAGUAAUCGCGGAUCAGCAUGCCGCGGUGAAUACGUUCCCGGGCCUUGUACACACCGCCCGUCACACCAUGGGAGUCGGAAAUGCCCGAAGUCUGUGACCCAACCGUAAGGAGGGAGCAGCCGAAGGCAGGUCGGAUGACUGGGGUGAAGUCGUAACAAGGUACC